Molecule: long non-coding RNA, 1228 nt
Filed under: Physcomitrium patens
Lineage: Eukaryota; Viridiplantae; Streptophyta; Bryopsida; Funariales; Funariaceae
Description: long non-coding RNA (PPAT_LNC005783)
Source: RNAcentral
GAAUUUUAUUUUUCUACUUGUACUUUGAAGGAAAAGGGUGUUGAUUUUGUUUUCUUCAUGCCACAUGUUGCAUUUGAUACCUCCAUUGCAUUUGAAAGGCUUCCAUAAAUUAGAAGAAUCACUUUUCCACUUGGAUUUAUUGAAUUUGGAAAAAAUCUUUAACUCCAUCAUAAUUAAACCUCGUUAGAUUCUUUUUUCUUUUUCUUUUUUUUACACCAAGACUACUUCUUUUAUAAUUCCUCUACUAUUAGCUAACUAGAAAAAUAUAGUCUUUAUAGUUUUUUCUUACAAAAUUCUAUCUUAAAUUACAUAUCCGCUAUUAACAAUCUAUUUUCUAUUUUUUCCUAAAAUUCUAAUAGUAGCUCAUAAAAUUUAUAUUUUAAGCACAAUAAGUGUAUUUUUUUAUACUAAAUAUCAAAGUGAGUCAAUUCAAUGGCUUAAAAAAUCCUAACCAAAUCCUAAUAAAAUCCUAGUCAAUAUCUAAACAAAUCCUAACCAAAUCCUAAACAAACCUAAACAAAUCUUAAUCGAACCCUACUCAAAUCCUAAACAUAUCCUAACUAAAUCCUAAAUAAUCCAAAUAAUUCUUCUAGUAGAUUUAAACCUCAAUAAUUAAUGAAUGAACUAUUGAUUUUAACUCACAUUUUGCAUAUCCCUUCACAAUUAAAUUGACUAUAAGCACAAAUUUUUUUAAGAAGAUCAAACUCACCAAAAAGAAGAUCAAUCCUAAUAUUUGCUCAGAUGUUGGUCAGCCUCCUUCUUCAAUUUGAAUAUCAAUAUCUCCUUGUUGAACUAUUUAAUUGAUUUCAAAUAUUUUAUAUAUAUAGAAAAAUAAGUCUACUAUCUACAUGUAUAAUUUUCACUCCAAUCUAACUAAUAGAUUGCAAGAAAUCUUAGAAACUUUCAUUAGACCUAAAACUCUACUUUUUGAGACCCCAACCUACUUAAACCUCAAUAAACCUCGAUCCAGUCAUUCAAUCAAGCUCAAAGUUACAACAUAUAUUGAACACAUAUAUAUCUACAAACUCUCAAAAUUUCACAUGUAGAUCUAUUGCCAAAUUCACAAAAUUCUCCAAAAAUUAUCACCCACUUUAUUUCACAAAUUCAAAGUCAUCCAAAAUAAAUUCUAACUUUGCAAAGCUCUUAGAAAGUUAAUACACACUCAAAUCAUACAAAUCCAAUGCUCAUCAAAAUCUUAUUAAGUUUUCUCUCUAAAUCCACUCUCCAA